UACGUAGGGCGCAAGCGUUGUCCGGAAUUAUUGGGCGUAAAGAGCUCGUAGGCGGCUUGUCACGUCGGAUGUGAAAGCCCGGGGCUUAACCCCGGGUCUGCAUUCGAUACGGGCAGGCUAGAGUUCGGUAGGGGAGAUCGGAAUUCCUGGUGUAGCGGUGAAAUGCGCAGAUAUCAGGAGGAACACCGGUGGCGAAGGCGGAGCUCUGGGCCGAUACUGACGCUGAGGAGCGAAAGCGUGGGGAGCGAACAGG
This 253-nucleotide ribosomal RNA is filed under the name uncultured bacterium. Its description in RNAcentral is "partial 16S ribosomal RNA". It matches the Rfam family "Bacterial small subunit ribosomal RNA", at positions 524 to 776 of the family's 1533-position model. The record is from RNAcentral.